Molecule: long non-coding RNA, 267 nt
Filed under: Elaeis guineensis (African oil palm)
Lineage: Eukaryota; Viridiplantae; Streptophyta; Magnoliopsida; Arecales; Arecaceae
Description: long non-coding RNA (EGUI_LNC036910)
Source: RNAcentral
CUUCUCAUCCCUUCAUUUCCAGUCAUCUUCUCCACAAAACUCAUCUUUUCUUCCUAAUCUUCCUCCGUUUGCUUCCUUCAUGGUAGACACCCUCACUAAAGGCUUUGUCUUCUUCACAUAAACAAAGCCCCUUCUUCAUAUCUCCUCCACCUCUCCACAUGAUGUUUCAUUAAAAUAUUUCCUCACUUUACAUGUCCAAAAGGCUUCUUCAUUAUUUUCCUUUGUUUAUUCAUCUUCCUUUGUUUUCUUCCACUGAAACAAAGCUUC